RNAcentral lists this antisense RNA (75 nucleotides) under Nocardia amikacinitolerans. RNAcentral's name for it is "Nocardia sp. W9988 ASpks TB sRNA". It matches the Rfam family "ASpks TB sRNA". The record is from Rfam by way of RNAcentral. Lineage: Bacteria; Bacillati; Actinomycetota; Actinomycetes; Mycobacteriales; Nocardiaceae.
CUUCAGCGAUCCGAGCCACAGCGGACGAUCCGCAUCACGAGCUUGGCCAUACGUCGCCAAGAGCGCCUGCGCCUC